Molecule: ribosomal RNA, 496 nt
Filed under: uncultured bacterium
Lineage: Bacteria
Description: partial 16S ribosomal RNA
Rfam family: Bacterial small subunit ribosomal RNA
Source: RNAcentral
GACGAACGCUGGCGGCGUGCCUAAUACAUGCAAGUAGAACGCUGAAGAGAGGAGCUUGCUCUUCUUGGAUGAGUUGCGAACGGGUGAGUAACGCGUAGGUAACCUGCCUUGUAGCGGGGGAUAACUAUUGGAAACGAUAGCUAAUACCGCAUAACAAUGGAUGACCCAUGUCAUUUAUUUGAAAGGGGCAAAUGCUCCACUACAAGAUGGACCUGCGUUGUAUUAGCUAGUAGGUGAGGUAACGGCUCACCUAGGCGACGAUACAUAGCCGACCUGAGAGGGUGAUCGGCCACACUGGGACUGAGACACGGCCCAGACUCCUACGGGAGGCAGCAGUAGGGAAUCUUCGGCAAAGGGGGCAACCCUGACCGAGCAACGCCGCGUGAGUGAAGAAGGUUUUCGGAUCGUAAAGCUCUGUUGUAAGUCAAGAACGAGUGUGAGAGUGGAAAGUUCACACUGUGACGGUAGCUUACCAGAAAGGGACGGCUAACUACGU